GCCGCGGCUUCCCGCCGGCCGCGCGCUUCGCCAGAUUGCUCUUUUGCCCUCCCUUUCCGAUGGCUGCGGAACAAACGGUCGCCUGACAGCUAAGCAUCGAUCCAGGAACCCGACUUCUUAGACACGCACAAGUACACCCACGCGUGACACGGCGUUUUCCAGGCGAGAUAGACGAAGAAACGUAAAGCCGAUACACACGUGCGGAAACGAUGCUUUUGAAGGGGAAAAUCUGCCCAUUCCUGGGCUUUGGUGAAAAAGGAGAAUCAUCGACUCGGGUAGGGUAGAGGAGACUCCCGUUAUGCCGUCCUAGUUGCUGGACAAAGCUGCCAGAUUCGGGAGAAAGUUGCGCUCUCUAGACGGACUAUUAGCCAGGCUCUGGUGUGGUGUAUAGUUUUUACCUGGGAACUAUCACAAAGGAAGUCCACAAAGGAGACGCAGCGGAAUGGGGCACAAUGGUACCCUGCUAAGGUUUCUGGAUGGCGUACUUUAAUGAAGUAUGAAACCAUGAUGGAAGCCCAGGGGAGAGUCCAUUUUAAAAGCAAAACUGUGUAACCAUUAUUCCAUCAACAAAUCAGGACUUUUCCUUUCCCCAAAUUGCAAUGCAGGUUAGAGACAGAUGUUCAAAGUACACUAAAGCAGCAUUUAUUUUUCUUCAGUUACUUAAGAUUUGAAAAGGGCUUAGAGUGUGCAUAAGCGCACCAGCGUGCCUACCGUCCCUGUCCUAAUGUUCCCUUUUACAUGUAUCCAUUUCAUGUAUUCAUAAUUAUGUUUAUACUUAUAUCUGUUACCUAUUACAUGCUUGAUGAAAUAAAUAAAUAAAAAUAAAGUUUGUAACAAUC
Molecule: long non-coding RNA, 839 nt
Organism: Ahaetulla prasina
Lineage: Eukaryota; Metazoa; Chordata; Lepidosauria; Squamata; Colubridae
Exons: 3
Source: RefSeq, a predicted model, not a curated record